This 301-nucleotide ribosomal RNA is filed under the name uncultured bacterium. Its description in RNAcentral is "partial 16S ribosomal RNA". It matches the Rfam family "Bacterial small subunit ribosomal RNA", at positions 509 to 807 of the family's 1533-position model. The record is from RNAcentral.
CAGCCGCCGCGGUAAUUCGAAGGGUGCAAGCGUUAAUCGGAAUUACUGGGCGUAAAGCGUGCGUAGGCGGUGAGUUAAGUCUGCUGUGAAAUCCCCGGGCUCAACCUGGGAAUGGCAGUGGAUACUGGCUCGCUAGAGUGUGUCAGAGGAUGGUGGAAUUCCCGGUGUAGCGGUGAAAUGCGUAGAGAUCGGGAGGAACAUCAGUGGCGAAGGCGGCCAUCUGGGACAACACUGACGCUGAGGCACGAAAGCGUGGGGAGCAAACAGGAUUAGAUACCCCCGUAGUCCCUGUCUCUUAUAC